GUUUGGGGAAGGCCGUGUGCCAGCCUGUCUGAGUGAGAGUUGGCGCCCAAGAUUCGCCCAGUCUCGAGUUUCUCCUCCCUUCCGGGGACCCUCUGGGGCCCCCAGGGGUCGCCCCUCUUGCGGUAUGUCUGAUGUUGGAGGACUAAGCACAUGGCCUGGGGAGGACUCCAGUGACCUUUCAUGUCCAGAACCAGUUUGUAACUGGGCCUGGACAGGACCGUAGCCGCCGUUCAAGGGUUUGGGUGCGUGCGCCCCGGGAAAACCCGGAGUUCCAGGGGAACCAGGGCCAGAAUGGGACUUGACCAUUGCUCUCUGCCCUCGUGGUCAUUACCCACCGCCACCUCUCAGAUACCCAAAUGACGCCCUAGAGCCCAAGGCCUACAAUGGUGCCCUACUUGGCAUUGCCGCCAGAUCUUCGGAUUUAUGAGGCCGCCCACUAAUUGGUGAGGGGGAGUUUUAGUUCUCCUUGCAGUGUCUUGCAGAGAAUUUCCUCGAGGUUCCACGCGCCUCUUGAAAGCCAGAAAAACGUGUACAGACCCUGCCUCUCCAACUCGCGCCGCGGCCCAAAGGGGCUGGGCGGAUACCUGGGAAGAGCCCCAAUGUCUGAACUCUGACGUGCACACCUCCGGCUCCCUUCGGCGGGGUGAGGAUUUGGCGCCUACGACAUAACACUGGCCGAAACACCUGGAACCGUAGACGCACCCUCUCAGCCCAGCGCCCCCGCUCGCCGGAGCGCUGCAUUUUAAGGUGGACCGCAACUUUGGGGGACCCCAGAAGGUUUUCUGAGGCGGAAUUAGCCGAAGGGGAAGGAAUUGCAAAUGUAGGAAUUCUGGCACCUGUGAGCUCAGCCCACUUCACUGUGGGUCCUCACUCUUAUCCGAGCUCCGAGCAAAAGAACACUUUGCUGCUGGAUGCCCGGAGCCACGUGGGUGCACACUCCUCUAGAAGAGGGAAUUCAGAGCCAGAUCUGGAAAAACAAUAGAAACCAGAGGGUCAUGACAUGGAAUCCAAAAAAUGUCCUAAGUCUUUCUCUGCCUAGGCUACUACAUUGGAAACACGUUACAGGGAGUCUGUCCUAGAUUCUUAUUGUCUCUUGGAACCAACUCCAAAGGAUCACAGAGGUGGUGAACAAAC
This 1134-nucleotide long non-coding RNA is filed under the name Suricata suricatta (meerkat). RNAcentral's name for it is "lncRNA (ENSSSUG00005003682.1)". The record is from RNAcentral. Lineage: Eukaryota; Metazoa; Chordata; Mammalia; Carnivora; Herpestidae.